RNAcentral lists this long non-coding RNA (1261 nucleotides) under Ananas comosus (pineapple). RNAcentral describes it as "long non-coding RNA (ACOM_LNC020684)". Lineage: Eukaryota; Viridiplantae; Streptophyta; Magnoliopsida; Poales; Bromeliaceae. The record is from RNAcentral.
UCCUGUCAAAAAUUUAUUUGCAAAAAUGGUCCUGGCCCCGUCACGCAAGCGCCACGUCAGCGCCACGCGGGCGAGGCUGGGCAAGAUGGUUAAGUUGAACACGGUGAACCAUUCACCGUGUUCAAUAUAAAAUUUUUGUAUUGGAUACGGUGAAUCAAAAUAGCUAAGAUCGAAAAAUUUGUAUUGGACACGGUGAACCAUUCACCGUGUCCAAUAUAAACAAUUGGACACGGUGAAUGAUUCACUGUGUCUAAUACAAAUACCUCCAACUUAGCCAUUGUUGGGGUAUUUGUAUUGGACACGGUGUCCAAUACACGGUGUCCAAUACAAAAAUCUUGUAUUGAACACGGUGAAUGGUUCACCGUGUUCAACUUAAAUACCUGGGCCCGCCCUGCCCGCGUGGCGCUGACGUGGCAGGUGCAGGGCCAUUUUUGCAAAUAAUUUUUAGACGGGGCUAUUUUUGUAAAAAAAAUUUGUCAGGGGGCUAUUUGCAAAAAAAGCCCUUUUUAAUCUGUUUUCUAUACCACAGUAGCAAGAAGUUGCAAAUUUUUCACAUUUUAUAAAAUAAUAAUAUUUUCAAGCAUUUCAAUCACAAGAAUGAGUACAUAAAUUUAUUCAUGUCAAUUUCAACUACACUUUAAGUAUAUAAAGUGAACUAUACCAAUGUCAAUGCAUUUUAAUAUAAAUAAAUUUAAAUAAUACUAUAAAAAAUUUAUAUAUAAAAAAUCAGAAAUAUCAAAUAUGCAUGAAAAUUUAAAAAAUUCUAAGAAAAUCAAAUUCUCUCCCAACCCCUUCCAUGCCCUCGCCCUCGUCCCCUACCUUUAUACGCGGUGAAUUAUUUAACACUUUUGUGAUUUUUUACACCCCUUUCAAAGGCAAGAGUACUCUAUAAAUAUAGUGAAUGGUUCACCGUAUGCAUUUUUUUUAUACGGUGAACUUUACCCAAAAAUGCUGAUUUGGCAUACUUGAGGUCUAUUUUUACAAAAAAAAAAAAAUCAUGAGGACUCUUUUUAAAAUUAUAAAAAUAUGGAGGAUUAUUUAUAAAAAAAAAUUCAUUGUUAACAGCAAUGAAUUAAUUGAAACAACUAGAAAAAAGUAAUCAACCGUCCUUAUCGCAAGUAGCAAAAGGUUUGGUAGUUGGUAUCGAGGUCCCAAGUUCGAAUUUUAAUUGUCCCAGGUUCGAAUCCUAAUUGAUUCACAUUUUCAGCUAAAUUUAUUUCUAAAAAGUAGGGACCUAAUUGCAAGGAGGAAAAAUGUUGUG